GUCAAGAAUAAAACCAUUGUCUCCUGAGGUAUAAUAGAAACUGAAAAGAAACAAUCAAAGUCUGGAAAACAUCAUGGAGUGGAGUUGAGAUACAGCUGGGAGAGGAACCUAAUUCUGUAGUGUUAUCUCAGCAGUCCAAUACCUGAGUCAGGCUUCUCUUUUUUAUUUUUCAAGUGGUGUCUUUCUGAUAUUGUGACAAGUAAUCUGUGAAAAAUGUGGAAGUGAUAAAAGAAAAAGAAAUUGUUUACAGCUGGACAGUCAAAGCCAAGAGGUUGCUUGUCCCAGGUGACAGAGGAUGCCUGUGUGGUCUUUCACAUCCAUCGAGGAGUAAGCUUUUUAACCAUCUGGGUGCAAAACAGCUUAGAUUAGAAAUGCUGAAUUAUCCAGGAGGAUUUAGCCUUUCAGCAAGAAGGAGCCAUUUCAGCCUAACACCAGGCUGGUAUCUUCAGCUGAGUUCAAGCAUGAGCUGUGUCUGUGUGCAGGACCCUUCUGUUAUCAUACUUUAACUUUUCUGUGCCCAGACUCUGAAAAUCUGUGUAAUUCCAGGCUCCUCCAGAUCCCAGCUGUGGAAUUAACCUAAAUUACCUAGAGAAGCUGUGGCUGCAUCUGCAUUACAUAUUGUCUGUGUCUCCUGUGGUCUAAAAUGUAGGUAGUGCAGAGCUGGGACAGUUUUGCUCUGUGCAUUGCAGACACAAGAAAACCCAGCCUCACCAAGAGACUCCCAGAGCUGCUGUGCUGGAUGGACAAGGCAGAGAUGCUGGAUUUCUUGGAAUAACACACAGCUCAGAGAUGAAGACAAAAAUCUACAUUUUGAUUAUUUUUCAGGAGUGAGAGGUGACCCAUUAUGAGCAAGGAAAGCCAUAAUUUGUUUUCUAGGUAACUCCCUUUUGGUUUCAAAGGAGAGUGAGGCUUACCACUCCAUGAUGUAGCAAGGCUGUAGGAAUGAAAGCAGGAGCUACAACAGAUAAAAAGUGGUGAAGAGAAAACAAAGUGAAGCCUACCAGACCUCAGCUAAAAUAUUUUAGUGUAAUCUCCAGCAUGCUACCAAGAGAUGAAAUGCAGCAGAUCACUGCGCAUGAGAACUCUACUAAAUGAAAUCAUACAGUGCAGCAGUCAAAAACACGUGGGGUGAGAGCUGAGCAGAAGUGAAAGUAAUUUCCUCUGUGCCUGCUGCCCAUGAUGGAGAUUAUUGCUGCAUGGAACCACACAUGGGCAACCGAACAACAAGGGCCACAGCUCCUGUGCCUGCAAAUAGAGUGCAAGGGACACAGAGUAAUUUUGAAAAAUUUCUUGUUCAGCAGCAGUUGCUGCCA
RNAcentral lists this long non-coding RNA (1313 nucleotides) under Zonotrichia albicollis (white-throated sparrow). RNAcentral describes it as "lncRNA (ENSZALG00000004529.1)". The record is from RNAcentral. Lineage: Eukaryota; Metazoa; Chordata; Aves; Passeriformes; Passerellidae.